CGCGUGUACUGGUCCGGCCGGGCCUUUCCUUCUGGAGAGCCCCAUGCCCUUCACUGGGCGUGCGGGGGAACCAGGACUUUUACUUUGAAAAAAUUAGAGUGUUCAAAGCAGGCCUUUGCUCGAAUACGUUAGCAUGGAAUAAUAGAAUAGGACGUGCGGUCCUAUUUUGUUGGUUUCUAGGACCGCCGUAAUGAUUAAUAGGGAUAGUCGGGGGCAUCAGUAUUCAAUUGUCAGAGGUGAAAUUCUUGGAUUUAUUGAAGACUAACUACUGCGAAAGCAUUUGCCAAGGAUGUUUUCAUUAAUCAGUGAACGAAAGUUAGGGGAUCGAAGACGAUCAGAUACCGUCGUAGUCUUAACCGUAAACUAUGCCGACUAGGGAUCGGGCGAUGUUUCUAUCUUGACUCGCUCGGCACCUUACGAGAAAUCAAAGUUUUUGGGUUCUGGGGGGAGUAUGGUCGCAAGGCUGAAACUUAAAGAAAUUGACGGAAGGGCACCACCAGGCGUGGAGCCCGCGGCUUAAUUUGACUCAACACGGGGAAACUCACCAGGUCCAGAUGAAAUAAGGAUUGACAGAUUGAGAGCUCUUUCUUGAUUUUUCAGGUGGUGGUGCAUGGCCGUUCUUAGUUGGUGGAGUGAUUUGUCUGCUUAAUUGCGAUAACGAACGAGACCUUAACCUGCUAAAUAGCCAGGCUAGCUUUGGCUGGUCGCCGGCUUCUUAGAGGGACUAUCGG
Molecule: ribosomal RNA, 731 nt
Filed under: uncultured eukaryote
Lineage: Eukaryota
Description: SSU rRNA
Rfam family: Eukaryotic small subunit ribosomal RNA
Source: RNAcentral